UCCUGCCAGUAGUCAUAUGCUUAUCUCGAAGAUUAAGCCAUGCAUGCCUAAGUACACGUACUUGUAUUACGAAACCGUAUACGGCUCAUUAUAACAGCUAUGAUUUAAGGGGGCUAUGAAACCAUGGAUAACUGUGGUAAUUCUAGAGCUAAUACAUUCCACUAAAGUGCGACUUACGAAGCACUGGAUUUAUUGGAUCAAAACUAAUGCGUCCUUCGGGGCGGUGUUUGAUGAAUCUAGAUAACUUACCUAAUCGUAUGGCCUCGUGCCGGCGAUGCUCCCCUUCAAGUGGCUGACCUAUCAACUAUCGUUGGUAAGUUAAAGGCUUACCAUGGUGAUAACGGGUAACGGGAAAUCAGGGUUUGAUUCCGGAGAGGGAGCCUUAGAAACGGCUACCACAUCUACGGAUGGCAGCAGGCGCGUAACAUACCCAAUGCACGAUGUGCGAGGUUGUGAAGAUAAAUAGCAAUAUGAACUCUAUGAGUUUCAUAAUUGAAAUGAGGACAGUGUAAACACCUUAUCGAGUAACAAUUGGAGGGCAAGUCUGGUGCCAGCAGCCGCGGUAAUUCCAGCUCCAAAAGCGUAUAUUAAAGUUGUUGCAGUUAAAAAGCUCGUAGUCGAAAUUGGGGUGAGUUUCUGUAGGAUGUUUCAUUUUUUGGAACACUCCAGCAGUUGCCGCCUUACCAGCCGUGUACACUGUACAUGUCUUUCACGGAUGUGUACUGGUGACCGGCAAGUUUACUUUGAAAAAAUUAGAGUGCUUAAAGCAGGCUUACGCCUGUAUAAUGUUGCAUGGAAUAAUGGAAUAGGACUUUGGUUCUAUUUUGUUGGUUUUCGGAACUGAAGUAAUGAUUAAAAGAGACAGCCGGGGGCAUACGUACACUGGAAGAAGAGGUGAAAUUCAAAGAUCUCCAGUAGACGAACAACUGCGAAAGCAUUUGCCAAGAAUGUUUUCAUUGAUCAAGAACGAAAGUCUAUGGAUCGAAGAGGAUCAGAUACCCUCCUAGUAUAGACCAUAAACUAUGCCGACUGACGGUUCGUGAAGGCAAACCUUUGAGCCUUACGAGAAGUCACAGGGAAACCAAAGUCUUUGGGUUCCGGGGGAAGUAUGGUUGCAAAGCUGAAACUUAAAGGAAUUGACGGAAGGGCACCACCAGGAGUGGAGCCUGCGGCUUAAUUUGACUCAACACGGGAAAUCUCACCCGGUCCGGACACUGCGAGGAUUGACAGAUUGAUAGCUCUUUCUUGAUUCGGUGGGUGGUGGUGCAUGGCCGUUCUUAGUUGGUGGACUGAUUUGUCUGGUUAAUUCCGAUAACGAACGAGACUCUAACCUACUAACUAGUUCAUGCGUGUUUACUUAGCGCAUGCUAACUUCUUAGAGGAAUUCGUGACGUUUAGUCAAAUGAAAGAGAGCAAUAACAGGUCUGUGAUGCCCUUAGAUGUCCGGGGCCGCACGCGCGCUACAAUGGCAGUACCAGCGAGUUUAUUUCCUAGCCUGAGAGGGUCGGGUAAUCUGCUAAUUGCUGUCAUAUCAGGAAUAGUGGUUUGAAAUUAUUCCACUUGAACGAGGAAUUCCUAGUAAGUGCAAGUCACUAACUUGUGCUGAUUACGUCCCUGCCCUUUGUACACACCGCCCGUCGCUACUACCGAUUGAAUGAUUUAGUGAGAUUGUUGGAUCUGAUUCUAAGUAGCUUCGGUUACUAUGAAUUGGAAAAACACUCAAACUUGACCAUUUAGAGGAAGUAAAAUCGUACAAGGUUCCUA
Molecule: ribosomal RNA, 1764 nt
Filed under: Sluysia triapertura
Lineage: Eukaryota; Metazoa; Platyhelminthes; Tricladida; Uteriporidae
Description: SSU rRNA
Rfam family: Eukaryotic small subunit ribosomal RNA
Source: RNAcentral